UUAUAAUAAGCUAUUGCUUUUAAUUGUUAAUUA
RNAcentral lists this transfer RNA (33 nucleotides) under Oroperipatus sp. DVL-2011. Its description in RNAcentral is "tRNA-Asn". The record is from RNAcentral. Lineage: Eukaryota; Metazoa; Onychophora; Udeonychophora; Euonychophora; Peripatidae.